CUGACUCUUCUUCCUCCAAGAUCUUGGCUCAGGCCUGAACCUGUGCACCGGGCUGAAACAUGAAGGCUACCAGAGAUGCCUGAGUCCUCGUGGAAGGAGUGUCUUUCACACUGUACCAGCAGAUGGAGAUAAAUGCCAAAAGGGAUGCAGAAGCUCAUUACUCCAACAAAGAGCCACCCAUGGGCCACCCAUGUUCACAUAGAAUUCUGCUUCCCAGCACAAGCACAGCCUGACCAAAGUGGCCAAAGACACCAGAAAUUACACUGCUGUGAAGACCCACCACAGCCCCAUAGGCAAGUCCUGUCACAAAGCCCAGAAACCCUCCUGUGCUCUUCUGGGAGAUCCCACAGCUCCUGUGUCUCUCCCGUCACUCCUGGGACCAUGGAAGCAAGUGUCACUUUGCCUCCCCCAAAAGGUGGGCAUAGUGGUGCUCAGGAAGUACUCAUAGGCUCACAGAAGAAGGAACUACUCAGCCGGAUGCAAAAGCAGCCCUUUGCAUUCUUCUCCAUUCCAGUAUUGACCUGGGAAGGUCAAAGCUACCAUUUGGCCCAUCCUUCCUCACCCCAGCCAACUGCACAUCGUGAAUGAUGAACAGCAUAUGCACACAGCAUGUGGGCCAGGGACAGUUUUGGUUAUGAAAGCCAAAGGCACUCUAGGUUAAAGCUUCAACAAGGAGGGAAUCUGUGGGAAGCAAGUAACCCACAGGACGCAAGCCCAUUUCUUUAGACAGAAGAGGCCAAGCCAGGCCAGAGAAGACUCCUCCGCGCUGCCUUUUCCUCAGCAGAAGAUCCUCACAUCAUGCCACAAUACUUGGUUUUAGUCUGUUCCCAUAGCUUUGCUACUGUGCCAUUUUCCAGCUCAUCUGACUCCCCCUGACCCCCCAUCAAUCAUCUGUUCUGGAGGCUUUGUGCCAAGUUUUCAGAGAUCCAUAGUAAUUAAAUUUAAAUUAAAAAUCACUCAGAUGCUACCUUUUUGCUAAGGUGGUUAUGACAGAAAUGAAAUGAACCAAGAGGCAGAGAGCAGCAAAAGUUGCUCUGUACAUCUGAACCUUUCUAACAUGCCCUGCUGGCUCCCAGCUUGUUAGCUCUGGAGCCUGGGAAGAAGUCUCCUUUCUCCAUAGGUACAAAACCCUCUGAGCAAACCAAACUAAGCACUAUGCAAAUAUGGCUGUCAAGGUCACAGUGGAGGAAAACAUCCAGACCAAUGGCAAUUAAUAAACCGUUCCUCAAAUGCAA
Non-coding RNA from Marmota flaviventris (yellow-bellied marmot), 1235 nucleotides. Lineage: Eukaryota; Metazoa; Chordata; Mammalia; Rodentia; Sciuridae. The record is from RefSeq and is a predicted model, not a curated record.